This 515-nucleotide ribosomal RNA is filed under the name uncultured bacterium. RNAcentral's name for it is "partial 16S ribosomal RNA". It matches the Rfam family "Bacterial small subunit ribosomal RNA", at positions 28 to 523 of the family's 1533-position model. The record is from RNAcentral.
GAUGAACGCUGGCGGCGUGCCUAAUACAUGCAAGUCGAGCGAAUGGAUUAAGAGCUUGCUCUUAUGAAGUUAGCGGCGGACGGGUGAGUAACACGUGGGUAACCUGCCCAUAAGACUGGGAUAACUCCGGGAAACCGGGGCUAAUACCGGAUAACAUUUUGAACCGCAUGGGUCGAAAUUGAAAGGCGGCUUCGGCCGUCACUUAUGGAUGGACCCGCGUUGCAUUAGCUAGUUGGUGAGGUAACGGCUCACCAAGGCAACGAUGCGUAGCCGACCUGAGAGGGUGAUCGGCCACACUGGGACUGAGACACGGCCCAGACUCCUACGGGAGGCAGCAGUAGGGAAUCUUCCGCAAUGGACGAAAGUCUGACGGAGCAACGCCGCGUGAGUGAUGAAGGCUUUCGGGUCGUAAAACUCUGUUGUUAGGGAAGAACAAGUGCUAGCUGAAUAAGCUGGCACCUUGACGGUACCUAACCAGAAAGCCACGGCUAACUACGUGCCAGCAGCCGCCGUAA